This 67-nucleotide transfer RNA is filed under the name Marmota monax (woodchuck). Its description in RNAcentral is "tRNA.Ala". The stretch from base 5 to 64 matches the Rfam family "tRNA", at positions 6 to 65 of the family's 71-position model. From Rfam's summary of the family: Transfer RNA (tRNA) molecules are approximately 80 nucleotides in length. Their secondary structure includes four short double-helical elements and three loops (D, anti-codon, and T loops). Lineage: Eukaryota; Metazoa; Chordata; Mammalia; Rodentia; Sciuridae. The record is from RNAcentral.
GGAUUGUAGCUCAGUGGUAGAGUGCUUGCCUAGCAUGUGUGAGGCCUGGGUUCGAUCCUCAGCACCA